Patiria miniata (bat star) is the source of this 467-nucleotide long non-coding RNA. RefSeq lists it as uncharacterized. The transcript is spliced from 4 exons. NCBI's taxonomy places the organism in Eukaryota, Metazoa, Echinodermata, Asteroidea, Valvatida, Asterinidae. The record is from RefSeq and is a predicted model, not a curated record.
CAGCAAGAGAGGGAACGUUUUGAGAAAGAACGUUGCAACGUUGACGCACAUUUUCUUCAUAUAUCAUGUCAAUAAAGGAAACUAUGGCGACAGGCGUCCAACAUGACCUGAUGAAGCAGGCACAGUGCUUUUGGUCAAUGCUGGAUGAGCUUGCAGAGACCGAUGAAGAUGCAUACAGGAAGUUCAUGGCCACAAACCUCCAAAGAGGACAGCAAGAAUUGACACCGGCCAAGCCAUGGAUGUAUGUCAAGACCCGUAUCAAGACCUUUGUCAGUGUACCAGAGUGAUGAGAACUCUCAGGAUGUCAUGAUCAAGUCUGAAAGUCAUGAUGAUGCGUCAAGUUCAAUGAACACUCACAUGAUGCUGGGAACAUACAUGUAAGUUGAGAAUGCAUGACCAUGGAAUGGCUACGAUGACCCACUGAAAACAAGGCUUGGUCCACAUUCUUGUGAUGUCCCCUGUGGACU